AGUCGAUUGGAAAUAAUCCACUAGAAUAAUUUAAAUGGAGUUCCCCGGAGAAUGAACUCCGGGAAGGUAGAGUAGAAAUUUAUAUGAGAAAAUAUGCUAAAGUAGUCAAAAUGAAUGAACACGUUCAAUUCAAUAAAAAAAGAAAUCUUUUUUUCCGAUUCAUUUUUUUUCUUACGACACGAUACUCAAAUCUAGAUUC
RNAcentral lists this long non-coding RNA (199 nucleotides) under Nicotiana benthamiana. Its description in RNAcentral is "long non-coding RNA (NBEN_LNC017902)". The record is from RNAcentral. Lineage: Eukaryota; Viridiplantae; Streptophyta; Magnoliopsida; Solanales; Solanaceae.